This is a long non-coding RNA of Aegilops tauschii subsp. strangulata, 2655 nucleotides long. RefSeq lists it as uncharacterized. The record is from RefSeq and is a predicted model, not a curated record. NCBI's taxonomy places the organism in Eukaryota, Viridiplantae, Streptophyta, Magnoliopsida, Poales, Poaceae.
CGGCCCAACUAGCUGAUUCCCCUCAAAAAAAAGAGAAGCUGAUGUGGUGCCUCCUCUUCUCUGGCACAUGCUGCUCAUCGCCUCGCUCCAUGCCCCCACAACCCUGCCGAUCUCGAACUAGGCUAAACCUAGCUGUAUUUCCGGUCAGGUCGCCGCCCUAGAGAGAGAAGAUGGAAAAUGGCAACAAUGGGUUGGAGUGAGUCUCCAAGCAAUCUCUGUUGAAGUCGAGCCGCCCGGGUCGCUGCCAUUAUCUCCUAUUUCUUUUUUCGUGCGGAUCGCCCGGAUCAGAGGAAGGCGAUGACAGCAUCGGAGGCCACUUCCUCCGGUCAUGCAUGUCCCUCUGAUCAAGGCACAAAAUCUCUCCAGAAUUGUUAGGUCCAUGAUGGUGGAAGAGGAGAUGACAGGAUGAGGAGCAGGUACGUGUCCCUCCCCCUUCCGCGCCUCCCCUAUUUUCGAUUGAUCCACUUACUCGAUCUGGUGUCCAUGUUGGUCGAAGAGGAGAUGAGAGGAUGAGGAGCAGAGGAUCGGAUUUCAGAAAGUGGGAAGAAGCGGAGGCCAGCCAGUUGAAAUCUAUUGUCCUUAUCGUUAGGUCUCCCCCAAUCUCGUCCUUGAAGAACAGCGACCUUGCACGAUCAGGGCAGCUCGUCAGCUUGCUUGCCGGCUGCAGGCCGAUUAAAUCAGUAUCUCCGGCACGCUGCUGUCCCAGACAGGAUACACGCUUCGACCCUGUAUCAUUCAUAUCUUCUCCUAGGUGUGUGAGGAGGAGAAAUCAGGAGGACGAGGAGGAGAACAGCGAUCAUGCACAUGCGAAACGAGUUGUCCUCAUUUGUGUGUAAAAACAGUCAGUUUAAAGCUAUACAGAAUAUGGACAAUAUGGGGACAGAAAGCUCAAAGAUGGCAAAAAGGGACCUUUAGGAGAUAUUUCAGUUGGGGUCAGUUGACGACAUUACUAUCAACGGGAAUUUAUUUCAUCCACAAUAAAGUUAGAGGACGAGUCCUGCCAUGUUUGUAAGUAGCUGUUGUAUCAACUUGAUGUUCUUGACUAAGAUCAUGGUAAGCUUUAAUUUAAAUCAAAUUAUUAUUUUGGUUUUAUUUCCUUUUUUAUUCAGAAACUGACUUACCUUGGUUUUGUGACACUGUAUUGGGUGUCUUCUUUUCCUUUGAAGUGUUGAGAUGUCAAGUUUGUGGAGAUCUUCAUUGUUCCUUCUUUUUUGAAGCUCACACCGAUGUAACAUGAUAGUUCUCUACCCUAACAAUGUAAUAUUGCGCAUCAAGAUUAUGAAUUAUGAAAUUUGUAUUUUCUUACCUGUUUAGCUGGACGCGCCUUUUUAAAUUGAAUUGUUUGUCCUGAGUUAUCGAUAUCGAUGGUUUGGUCAAAUAUUAUUUUUGGUUUGUUAGCUACUUGUACAUUUCAUAAAGUGCCUUAUUGGACUUGAAAGUAAGCACCAACAAGCCAAAAAUAGUACACUGAUCUAUGUUCUUAUCCUCUUCCAAGACAAAAGUAAUCAUUUUUAAUGGACAAUACCGUUCACUCCCUAUUUCAUAGUAUGAUAUAUAUUAUAUAGAUUGGAAGAACUUGUGACAUGAAAGGAUAGACAAUGCUAUAACAAUAUCAUGUACAUUUUGUACAGUAUAAUAUGUGAAUAAUAUAAACAAAUGGAUACUGAUUUUAUGUGAAUAAUAUAGACGGUUCUCCAUCUAUUGAAUGUUGUGUUGACAUGUUUAGAAUCAGAACUGUAGGCAGUUAUCCUUUUCUAACCACCAAAACAUGGAGUGCUUGAUGAUUCUGUGAAAAGGAUGGGUGGGAUUUGGUUCAGUUUACUUGUCCUAAAUAAUAUUUACCUUUGAGUUAAGGUACAAUUUCCUACUGCUAGCCAAUUUUAACUCAGAGCAUGUCGUUCUGUAAAUUACGCAUUGUGGAUUUGAUUACCAAAUAUUCUUUUUUUGUCUGUCAGCAACAACAUUUGUUCAUCAUUAUUUAGGCGUACUAUUUUUCAUAUAUUUCAGACAAAUCUUCGGCUGGAUGGAUAUCCGAUUGCAAAGCAGUGAAUUUCUUACAUUACCAAGCAAGAAACUGCAAUUAGUAGUUCCCUGUAGUUUAUAAGAUACACCAUAUCUAUAUAUGAAAAAAUAGUCAAGUUUAACCUCCUAUGUUGCUAACCAAUAUAUGCCAGUUUAUUAAAAUUUAACUUUCAUGUUGUUUAUUUGUAUAUAAUACAUAAACACCUAUCAUUUACUGUCAAAAUAGACGGGCGUGGCAACGCGUGCCACCGAUGAUCUAGUUUAUUGAUGAUUACCUUGCAAACUACAUGACCAGAGUGGAGGCAACUAAGGUUAAAGUAUAUAAUUCAUGCUACCAUGAUAAUGCUCUAGAAGUCUUCCUGAAGGUGGCGAAGGAUGGGCGGGCGAUCGUCACAAGGGGUUGGACAAAAGUUGUUUGUGCCUAUGGCAUGCAGGAGGCCACAUUAUGGGCAUUCCGCUUCUUCAACACCAUCGACAGCCAAAAUGAUUUACACUUCUCUCUACACCUUUACCGCCUCUAAAUAUUGUGGUCCAUCAUAGUUAAUUGAUGUCUAAUCCAAUAAUUACUGAACAUAUUGUACUGAUAAUUUUAUUUAUGGAUUCGUUGUUGAACCAUUGUGCUGAGAAUUUGAA